Rattus norvegicus (Norway rat) is the source of this 9434-nucleotide long non-coding RNA. RefSeq lists it as uncharacterized. The record is from RefSeq and is a predicted model, not a curated record. NCBI's taxonomy places the organism in Eukaryota, Metazoa, Chordata, Mammalia, Rodentia, Muridae.
GGAGGAUGAGGAGAAAACGGAGACACUGCCUGUGUACUGUACUGCUGUUUGGAAUGUAAGAGGGCACAGCUGCGAUGAAAACCAGUAUAGAGUUCCUCAAAAUAUUAAAAUAGAAUUACAAUAUGAUUCAGCAGUUCCAUUUAUGGCUAUAUAUACCUAUAUGGGUGUCGUAAAGUAGCAUCGUUCUGAAGAGCCGAUAGACAGAAGAGUAUUCACAGCUGAAUACAAAAUGUGGCGCAUGCGUGCCUCUAUGUGCACGGUAUGUGCAUGCGCGUGUGCAUGCGCAUGUGCGUGCACGCGUGCACGGGUACACACAAGGGCAUGAGAAUAAGAAAGUUUUUUGAUGCUGUAAUAAAAUAUCCAGGCAAAAGCAACCGACGGGAGGAAAGGGUUGUUCUAGCUGACAGUUCAAGGUUACGCUCCAUCACAGCAGGUAAGCCAUAGCAGUAGGAGCUUCAAGAAGCCAGUCAUAUCACACCCAUAAGCAGGAACAGGGAGCAGUGAAGGUACGCAUGCUCACGGCUCAGAGGGCUUUCUCUGCGUUCACACAGUUCAGGUGCACGGUAUUAAUCACAGUGGGCGAGGAUUCCCACCUCAACAAACCACCUUAACAGAAGUGAUCACAGAACAAUCUUAUCUAGACCAUGUCUCGUUGAAACUCUCUUCCCAGGUGAUGCUAGAUUUUGUCAGGUCCACAACACUAAGCAUGGGUUAAGAUGUCUGGUUAAGAUGUCUCAUCUGAUAAUGGCACUUGCUAUCAAGCCGGAUCACCUGAAUCCCAUCUGCAGGACCCACAUGGUGAAAUAGGAGAAGCAGUUUCUACAAGUAGUCUUCCGAUCUCCACACAAGCAACACAUACACACAUACACACACACACAACACACGCACACACGCACACACACACAUACACACACAAUAAAUAAAUAAAUGCACUAUGAAAACAAAACAAAACAAACCUCUAAUCAUUCCACUGUGGUAGUCUGCCUUAACAAGGAAGGAAAGUCUAACUACUUUAUCCUAUAGAUGAGUCUUGAAGACAGCAAACUAAGUGAAAUUGACCAGCCCCAAAAAGCCAUAUACUGUAGGAUUCCAUUGAUAUGAAGUAGCUGUGUAGACAAAUUCAAACAUAUAGGGAGAAUGAUAAUUGCCAGGAGCUGGGGAAGAAGGGAACUGGUUUUUUGUUUGUUUGUUUUGUUUUGUUUUAUAAAUGGCUACAGCAUCUGUUUUGCCAAGCCAGGAGUUUUGGAUAUGGCGGUGGCACUGAUGGUAAAAUAAUAUGAUAGUAUCAAAUGCCUUUGAGCUGUACAUUGAUAGUUAAGGUGAGCCAGGAGCCUUUAAUCCCAACACUUGGGAGGCAGAAGCAAGCAGAUCUCUGAGUACAAUGUCAAGGCAAAUGUGUUCUACACUGUGAGUUUCAGAUCAGCUAGAACUACAGAGUAAAACCCUGACUCAAAACAAACAGAAAACUAGUUAAGAUGGUAAGGUUUAUAGUAAGUGUAUUUCAUAGCAAUUAAUUUUUUCUUUAAAACAUUAAAUAGAAUUAGCAUAUGACACAAACAUUCUGCUCCUAGGUAUAUGUGUAUGUAUUUAUGUGCAUAUGCAUAUACACAUACACAUACAUAUAAACAGGGACUAGGUUUGGUGGCACACACCUUUGAUCCCGGCACUCAAGAGGAAGGUGAAAGUUGAUCUCUAUGAGUUCAAGGCUAGCCUUCUACAGAGUAAGUAUCAGGACAGCCAGGACUAGGCCUCAAGAACCAUCCUUUGAUGAGGUGACUCAAGACCAAAUCCUUUGGCUCAUUAGUUAAGAGUACUUGUUCUUGCAGAGGACCUGGGCUCAAUUUCCAGCACCCUCACAGUGGCUCACAGACAUCUGUAACUUCAAUUCCAGGGGAUCCAAUGCCCUCUGGUGGCCUCUGCUGGCAGCAGGCACACACAUGGCGCCUUGACAUACAGACAGACAAAACAUACAUGUGAGAUAAAAUAAAUAAGGCUAAACAUUAAAAAAAAAAAGUAAGUAAAGAACAGAACCACCCCUCGAUGUGUGAAGGAUUUAACAAACUCCGCGGUAUAGACAUAUGAUGAGGUUCUAUUUCACCACGGAAAAGAAUGACGGAUGAUGCAUGGCAAAAUACAGAUGAACCUCAGAGCACUGUGGGAAAUGAAAGAGUCAGGCACACCAGGUCGUAUACACUGUGUCUUCCAUCUACAUGCAGUGUCAAGAGGAGGCGGAUCCUCAGACACUAAGCAGUAGCUAUCAGGUGCUGUGGGUGGCAGGAAGGAGGAACAACUGCCUAGUGGGUAAGAAGUCUUAUCGUCAAAUAAAGCAAUGUGUUGAAACUAGAUAGAGCUGGCCAGACAACAUGACUGUAUUAAAUGCCAGUGAGCUAUUCAGCUUAGAAUAGUUAAUUUUAUGUCCUGAGAAUUUCAUCUUGGCAACAGCAAUGGUGAAAUCCCUCAGAAGAUGAAGUCCAGGACAAGCCGCAAACAGAAUAAUUUGCCUUAAGGUAACUGAGAGUUACCUUCAAUACCCUGCUUGGAGUCGCUUACACAGGAUCAUUUUGAAGUGAAGGUAAUUAAGGUGGUCAGCAGGAGACAGCAAACGGGUAUUCUGAGACGGCAGCUCCCUAACACUGACAUUUUGGGUCCGUGAAGUAGUAUUACUUUGUCUUAAGCAACAAGAUGCAUCCUUCCUGCCGCUCUGCUCGGCAACAGGGUCCCCUUUUGUUAAGUACCAAUGACAGGUGGUUACUUACUUUAUGACUGCCAGGGGGAUGCUUUGGUUUUAAUGAUUUUGCUUUAUAAAAUAGAUUUGGAUCCAAAGAACACCGACAUUACCGACACACUCACUGUGGUCCGGCUCUAAUGGCUAUUGGCAAAUGGGGCCCCAAGACGAAACUACUCUCUGUGGCUCUUAUAGCCCAGACACAGCUGCCAUUUCCAGUUGGUGCUCACUGCUAUCUAGGGACCCAGGUAUACAGCUUGGAACAUCAGAUCUAAACGCGUGAGAAGACUCAUCUCCCAACACUGCUGUCUCCCUACUGGGCCUGGCUUCAUGUGGGCACCUGCAGGUUCCAACCUACAAGGCAGUGACCAUUGCAUCGUGAAAGUGGGUAGCACUGACCAACUAAGGGGCAGCUGCCCUUCCCAGAUCUUCUGAGAUAACCACACAUCUGUGCCACUCCCCUCAGGGCCACCAUGAACCUUUGGUCUACUCUUACCUCCUCCUCUGGGGUAAACACUCCCAGUCACCUUUCAAAGUUUAUUUCUUACAAAACUCCAUUUCCAUUCCUGCCCUACCCUAGGUUCUCUGUGGCUCCCAGCAUUUCUCACAGAGUGGAGCUAGGAAGGAAGUGUUCUAGUGAACUCUGCUGAGGCCCUGCCUGUUCAUCGCACAUUAUUCUCUAUUAAUACAGUGGAAGAAGAGCAGUCAAGGUGGUUGGCUUCCUCACAACUCCACUGUUUAGUCUUAGAUCACACUGUUCUCAGGUUGUGUCAACCCAUGGGCACCCUUCAAAACUGUCACCUUGAAAGACUCAGUCCACUGUUCCAGCCUGUUGAGAUAUUUAUGGUCCCUAAGCCAUCGAUGAAUCCAUUCAUCGCCGGCAAACUUGAGAAGCCUGACCUAGGGACACUUUUCUGAAACAGGCCUCAGCCACGUCCCAGUUACCAUGACCUGUGAGCAGCAGUCUCUCCAAGUUUGGUUGUACCAGGGUACAGUCAGGGAAGGUAUGCCACUGGCCCACUUUCCUGGUCAGGUUCCUCUGGGUGACUCUGACACAGGAAUCUCAUGAGAACCCUUCUUUGAAUAGAGGUAAUCCAGUGGGCAUCACACAUAGCAAGCCAUCAAAUGUGUGUUUAUCACUACAAGACACACUUUACUGAGGAGGAGGUUUUCCUAGUUCCCCGCCCAGCGGCCAAGUGGCCUUCAGUGCAUACAUAUACUACGCAGCUGAAGUGAACAGAAGGAACUCAAGACACUCAACGCUAGGGCCUGAAUCCCAGUGCUCUUACCUACUGACGUGACCAGACCUGUCUCUCCAGGGCCAGAGGGAGGAGUGUUGAGAUCUGGCACAAGGAAAACAGGCUUAAAUGUUGAUGCUGGGUGGUGGCACAUGCCUUAAAUUCCAGUACUCAUGCCUUAAAUUCCAGAGGCAGAGGCAGGCAGAUCUCUGAGAUAGAGGCCAGCCUGGUUUACAGAGUGAGUUCCAGGACAGCUAGGGCUACACAGAGAAACCCUGUUUCUAAAAACAAAAACAAAAAACCAAAAAACUUAAGCAGACAUAAACAAACAAUUCUAAGAUCGUGACUAAAGAACUUAGAAAUAACAACAAAAAUACCAUUUCUACCCAGUGUUUGGCCACCUGCUUGUCAAAUCAAGGAGGGACCUGGAAAUGAGGACAGGGCAGCCAGAGAGCUGCAAGGAAACAGCUCCUCUCCCCUCCUCCGGCUCCUUUCCUGGAAACAGUUGUUUCUUAGGAAGACUAGGCCCUAAUCUGGCCUAAGGAGAAGGGACAGGGCCUCUCCCAGCCCACUUGCCAAGGAGCCCCUCAGCCUUCAGAAGCACACUGUCCAUUACCUUCUUCGUUGAGACCAAGACCUAUGCAAUUAGCACAGUCUGGCAGGUUGUGUUCACCUCCUGUGUACCAUGGUCCUCACAAGCCCCCAGGCUUCUGAAUGGGUUUUCUAAGAACAGCAGCUCUGGGUUUUUGAUGUGGUCAGGGUGCCCACCUCCCGUCCCUAACACCUUCAGGAAAGGAAUGACCUUCAAUAUGAAAGGACCUGGGACACAUUUUGCAAAGGGUUGUCAGAAGCCACCUGCUGGCUCCUAGUGGCAUAUCUAUGUCAAAGAUACUCUCCAGUGGAGGAGCAGAGACUGACAGAACUGGUACAGCCAGCCUCGGGCCCUUGGGAAAAGGGUAGUGGUUACAACGGGAGGCAUUGGGUGGCAUAAGUAAGACCGCCUGCUCUCAUCUACCCCAGGCUGGUCUCCUAACGUCCAAGGAACACAAGGGCAGAAUAAACACAGACACACAGACACAGACACACACACACACACACACACACACACACACACACACACACACGCACACACAAUUGUUGACAAAACACUAAGAAGAUUCUAUCAGUGAAUCUGUGAGCAGAUUAGGGAAUUUGACCAGAAAGGUGCUGGUAGAAAGAGGCCAAGAAAGCCUGCCUGAUAAUUUUAGGCAUCCCACUGGUCUAUAAGUUGUUCUUGUCUAGCUCCCUCUGUAUAAAUUUCCCUUAAGACCAAUGGGAUGAUGGGAUCUCUAAAGUCAGAAUUAUGAAGUUAUCUUAGACAUUCAUGGCCACAAUGGGCUUUUCCUAUGAUUUUAAAAACACAUGUUACUGGGAUUUUUUUGUUUGUUUGUUUGUUUGUUUUGCUUUGCUUUUGUUGUUGUUCCUGUUCCCCAUGCCUCGGCAUGGCUAUGGGAACACGCCCACAGAAGACUAACUCUUCGUCAGGAAGGUCGACUGCAUGGUGUUGCUGAGGCUGCUGCCACACUUGAGACAGAACCAGGUUAUGGGUUGAACAGUGUCCCACCACUCACAUGUUAAGUCUCUAGUUAUCUAGUCCCUAAGAGUGUAACCAUAUGUAGAGCCAGGUCUUGAAAGAGGCCAUUAAGAAAUGGUCCUAAUCCAAUAGGACUGGAGUUCUUAUUCUAAAAGGAUGGGGCACCAAAGACUCAGCGGCUGCACCUUGAGAAGGCAGCAAGCCUGGUACGGCCAUCUGUAAGGCCUCGGGGCAUACCAGCCCUGUUGGCACCUCCAUCUGGAGUCCAGUUCCUAGAACUGUUAGGAAGUGCGUUUCAGGUGUUUAAACUACACUCUAGUCCUAACCAAUGCAACUGGUUGGCUCUGAAGCCGCUCACAUUUACCUUCCUGGAGUGUAGGCAACUCCUCACAGCCCAACUGCGCUGUCUGGUCCACUCAAAGGUAGAGUGAGGCCAAAAUGGGGUACAACUAGAUGUUGUUUUCCAGCAGAUCCUGCUGCUCUGCCAUCCUGUGCUGAGGGCAUGGAUGACACAGAGCAAAUGGCUCCUAGCCACAGACUGCAAGGAGCCAACUCCUUUAAUCAACUUCCUUUCCUGGUUUACCUCGUACAUGGACAGGUUCUGAUUAACCCGAGUAUCAUUGAUGUGGUUCCAGAGAAAGACAAGUCUGUGGAGCAAGUGGAUUCAUGACCCAGUAAGAUAGGCACCGACACUCUCACUAGUUUGAUGAACCCACAUUAAGCAUCUGGCCCAAUGUUACCACCGCUGGGGACUGACAGUCUCUAGAUUCCAUCUGCCCCCAUGUUCUGUGGAACUCCUGGAUCCUGCCAGUCCCUGGUUUGGGCAGAGCCACUCUCAAGGCAAGAGAGGUAGACUCAGUGGUUCACUGCCACUCUGGAACCAGACACAGCUGCAGCAAACAGUGGAUAUGUCUCUGUGCUACCUAUAGGAGGAAGAACCGAAGUGAGAAAGGAAUAUAUAAGCAGGUUGAUGUCUGCAGGGGCUCCAAGAGUCUACAAGACACGAGCUGAGAGGCACCUUGACAUGUCCCCAUGUGGCAGGUGCAAGGGUCUGGCCAUACAAAAGGCCAAACUCUGAAAAAGAACAACUUGGGGACAUUUCAGCAUUGCUGCCACGUCUCCAUUCCAACACAAAGGCCUGUAAUGCCCCCUCCACGUCUCUCUUUAUUCACAUUGGCCAAAAGACUAUUGGCAUAGUGAGCUCGGAGACUCCAUUAUUAUAGAUGGCUACUACGCACAGACCCAACACACACUUCAAACCACAAGCCUACAAAAGACGGGCCUCAUGCACCCCUACCAACCUGACAGAGAGGGGAAGGAUAGGGCUCCCUCCUAUAAGCUGAAUUGGGGGUAGAAUGGAUCUAAUUAGAACAGAAUUUCCUUCAUCUUUCUAUUUUUAUUUGUUUGUUGAGACAAGGUCUUAAUCUGGAGCCCCUGCUUGCCUGAAACUUGCUUCGCAGAUGCGGCUGGCCUUGAACUCAUAUGGAUCUGCUGACUUCCGAUCCCUACCUCCUUCCCCAGAUGUUGUAGUUAAAAAGAAUGCAUCACAACACCUGCCAGGACAAAGUUUCUUCACCACACACUAAAGCCAGUUUGCCAAGCGUGGAUGGAGCAACAAGCAGGUGAAGGUUUGAUGGCUAACUCUGGGCCUGACAUUCCACUCCUCGGCUCCUGCAUUAAAGCUUGGGUCAGAAGGUAAAAGAUCUGAAGCAGGAGGCCAGCCUUGUCCUUACAUUCUGCAAGGUUAGAGGAGACCAAAAAAAUUGAUACUUUUAUAUGGAUGUGUGAAAUGUGGAAAAGAAACUAUAGCCCUAAAAUGGCUACAACAACGUCCAGCUUCGGCUCAACGACGGUGCCUACUACUCUGGAAAUUUCCAUUUCGACUGUCCUUUCUCAGGGAAGAGUUGGGGGGAAAGUGGAAUUUGGACCCCCUUGUGUGAUGAAAGCACCCUAGCUUCUCUGAAGUCCUUCCACAAGCCGGCCUGAAUGAGCUCUGUUUGCUGCUUUCUUCCUCCCUUUUGAUUUGUUUAGUUUAAAAUAUUUAGCCGGCUGCACAGUGAAGAGUCUCAUUUCCAGGGUUCUCCUGGACCAUUAGGCUGGGACUCCACACUCAUGCUGAUGAGCGUUCUACUUACCCAUGCAAAUCCCGGGAGUAGCAGCCUGUGCGAUGGGAGGUGCUCUAGGUAAACCGUCAAGAGCUGAUUUAAUUUUGCAGCGAUUCAGUGGGCAAGGCAGAGCAAUUUUUUAGGCAAAGGUUCUAGUAAAUAUUAUGGAAAACCCUUUUUAUAGAGUGCUAAUUCUGGCACAGCAUUUUCCUACGUGCCCGGUUUCUGCUCUCAUUCAAACCUGCCUGGGAGUCCUCAAGGCAGGAUAAUCUACACAGAUCACGUGUGAGGGAGCGUGUCAUUGGGCAGUGGCUGGCUGGUAUCCAUUCUUUACAGUGCUGUCAACAUCUCAGGAUUACAGUCAUUUCAGUGGGGACAAACUCUCCAACCCAGGAACUUCCCUUCUGCCAUCCUUCCGCCAGCCCAUCCCCCAUGACCCUGAAACUUGCCAACUGGCUCCUGGACAGGCUGCAGGUCACCAGAUGACACCGCUCCCGUGAGUUUGACAAAACAAGCACAGCAAACUCCUUUUUAGAGGUCUGAAACAAUACCCAACCCUUUCUGGGCGUCCUCACUUUCAUUUUAAGCCUCUGCCACUGCCACCGUUUGUGACAACCCAGAGAAAACAACUCAACCUACGACGAACGCCGGGGGACCUGCCAUCGGGGCGGCUGGGGAGUACUAUCAAGUGACCUUUCAGGGAAAUUAAUUUUCAAGAGCGAUAAUGGCCUUUGCUGCACAUACAUCCAGCACUACUUCUGUCAGCGCAGAAAAGGAUUUCGCUCUCUACAGUUGGAACAGAAACUCUCCUACAUCCCCGUUUCUUUAAAAAAAAAAAGGCUAUAAAUAACCCAGGAUCAGCAAAAUUAUGCAAAACAGCCUGCUAGAGGAAGAAAUGUAAACUAAACCCACUUACAGAACGACUCGGGCUGCCAACUUAAUCUGAUGCUAUGACGAAUGUAAACAUGUUGUACUUUUGAAACCUGAAGUGAUCCACUUUAGUACAGAUGCCAUCACAAAAAUGAGAGAGAGAGAGAGAGAGAGAGAGAGAGAGAGAGAGAGAGAGAGAGAGAGAGAACUCCGAAACAAGGAAACAACAAAAGCCCAGCCGCAAAACAGAGCAACCUGAUUCCGUAUUCUGCACAGUGCACGACCCGACGGCUGAUCGGCUGCAGGAGAAGUCUAGCACCGCUGCCCUCUAAGAGGAUCCAGCCAGCAGCUAACUCGGACAGAUGCAGACACCCACAGCCAAAGGGUGGAUGGUGUUUGGGGAUUCUUCUGGAAGAACAGGGGGAUGGAUUGUAAGCCCUGAAGGGCCUAGGAACUCUACAGGAAGACCAGCAGAGUUAAUUAACCUGGACUCUUGGGGCUCUCAGAGUCUGAACCACCAACCGACAUACCCACAGGCUGAACCUAGGCCUCCCCACACAAAUCUAGCAGAUGUGCAGCUUGGUCUCCCAGUGGGUACCGAACAACUGGAAUAGUAGGAGCCAUCCCAACAGCUGUUACCUAUGCAGGGGAUCAAGUCCACACCCUUAUGCACACACCAGCUAAACACUCCGUGUCUGAGCUAUCCAGCCCCUUACUGUACUCUUGUCCCGGAGCACCUGAGGAUCUCGGUCACAGGAUGGCGGCCAUCCAGUAAUCAAUCCUCAAGGAAACCGAGGGACACUGCACUUUGAACCCUUUUUAAGUUGGGAUUGAGGCAUUUCUCGCUGUCAGACUGUCUUUGGGCCCUCCAACUGGCAUUUUCAAACUGUUGACACUCGACUACUUUACAAGAGAAAGCUUGA